CGAACGAUGAACCACAUUCGGUGGGGAUUAGUGGCGAACGGGUGAGUAACACGUGGGCAAUCUGCCCUGCACUCUGGGACAAGCCCUGGAAACGGGGUCUAAUACCGGAUACGAGUUCCACGGGCAUCCGUGGGACUGGAAAGCUCCGGCGGUGCAGGAUGAGCCCGCGGCCUAUCAGCUUGUUGGUGAGGUAAUGGCUCACCAAGGCGACGACGGGUAGCCGGCCUGAGAGGGCGACCGGCCACACUGGGACUGAGACACGGCCCAGACUCCUACGGGAGGCAGCAGUGGGGAAUAUUGCACAAUGGGCGAAAGCCUGAUGCAGCGACGCCGCGUGAGGGAUGACGGCCUUCGGGUUGUAAACCUCUUUCAGCAGGGAAGAAGCGAAAGUGACGGUACCUGCAGAAGAAGCGCCGGCUAACUACGUGCCAGCAGCCGCGGUAAUACGUAGGGCGCAAGCGUUGUCCGGAAUUAUUGGGCGUAAAGAGCUCGUAGGCGGCUUGUCGCGUCGGUUGUGAAAGCCCGGGGCUUAACCCCGGGUCUGCAGUCGAUACGGGCAGGCUAGAGUUCGGUAGGGGAGAUCGGAAUUCCUGGUGUAGCGGUGAAAUGCGCAGAUAUCAGGAGGAACACCGGUGGCGAAGGCGGAUCUCUGGGCCGAUACUGACGCUGAGGAGCGAAAGCGUGGGGAGCGAACAGGAUUAGAUACCCUGGUAGUCCACGCCGUAAACGGUGGGCACUAGGUGUGGGCAACAUUCCACGUUGUCCGUGCCGCAGCUAACGCAUUAAGUGCCCCGCCUGGGGAGUAC
RNAcentral lists this ribosomal RNA (806 nucleotides) under Streptomyces sp. RNAcentral's name for it is "bacterial SSU rRNA". It matches the Rfam family "Bacterial small subunit ribosomal RNA", at positions 63 to 883 of the family's 1533-position model. The record is from RNAcentral. Lineage: Bacteria; Bacillati; Actinomycetota; Actinomycetes; Kitasatosporales; Streptomycetaceae.